Long non-coding RNA from Sinocyclocheilus grahami, 907 nucleotides. RefSeq lists it as uncharacterized. The record is from RefSeq and is a predicted model, not a curated record. The transcript is spliced from 4 exons. Lineage: Eukaryota; Metazoa; Chordata; Actinopteri; Cypriniformes; Cyprinidae.
GUAGCAGAGAGGUGCUCCUGAAACACUACAGGUUUCACCACUAUCAAGGGCGAUCCUGGCAGCAGCCUUGCCUGUAUACUGACUGCAUUUGCACUUGCAAAACUAUAGGAAAGGGAUGCAUUACAUGAGGAAUUGAAGAAGAAACAUCUCAACAUGGCAUUUGUUGACUCGAAAAUGGAAUCGACAUUCUCAUUGAGAAGGAAGGAGAUAGCUGAAGAAGAACCUCUUGUAGCUGAUGUACUAAGACAAUGGCCAGCAUUGUUUUUGGAACAUCAGAUAUGUGCUGAGUUUUACAGAAUCACACAAACAAACCUGAAGAGUAAAUUUUUCUCUUCUCUGGAUGAAUAUACACCGCGGAUGAUCAAGUUGUAUAGGGUACGCGGCGGAGCAUAUGGAGAUAAUAUGAAGACCCUCCUAGACCAACUUGAUAAUCAGACCUCCAAUGUGCUUGCUCAUAGAAAGGCUACAGCUCUCAAAGGGAAAAGUGAAGAUUUCCUGAAGACUUGCCUGGUAAGAUGAUUUAUCAGCACAUACAUUUAUACUUCAAAUCCAUCUCCAGAUCCUAUCAGGGGGUAACAGUUUUGUCUGGAAUCCAAAACUAAUCCAUUAACUCUACUGUCUGCCAUGACAUAGGAGACAAAGUGAUGGUAAAAGUAGUUUAUUAAUUUGAGUUUCUCAGUGUUUGGAUUUCUGAUUUCAUCUGAAAACACCAUUCAAAGUAUUAUUCUAAAGCAAAGAUAAUAGUUAAUUACUGCUGCAAAACACUGUCCUGAGACAUUGAAAACCUUGAGAUGGAGACAUUCCAUCUGACCUCCAACCUGUGAAAAGAAUACAGCACACAACACAAUCAUAAGAUUAAGCAGUAAUGUAGCAAAAACCAAGGGUAAGUGAGAUUAAUAUGAAAUGA